This 249-nucleotide long non-coding RNA is filed under the name Homo sapiens (human). Its description in RNAcentral is "non-protein coding lnc-MAK16-7:1". The record is from RNAcentral. Lineage: Eukaryota; Metazoa; Chordata; Mammalia; Primates; Hominidae.
UCCAGACUCACGUCACUUCCUUUCACCCCUCAUGAGGAAGGGGCAUACCUCUCCUUUCUCCUAAUGCAAGCGACGGUCCCCUUCCUUCCGGGACCAGGGGCCAAAGUGCGGUGGGGCUGGGAUGGAGUGUUGUGGGUUGCUAGUAUGCAUCCCCCCACCGACCUCUGCGCUGCACCUCUCUCCUGGUGUUGGACUUGCAGAUUGUUGGAGCGGACUCUGCCUCUCUCCCCAGGUUAAUGUUUUUACUCA